This 186-nucleotide small RNA is filed under the name Dipodomys ordii (Ord's kangaroo rat). Its description in RNAcentral is "TUC338 (ENSDORG00000026013.1)". Lineage: Eukaryota; Metazoa; Chordata; Mammalia; Rodentia; Heteromyidae. The record is from RNAcentral.
UGGGCUAGUCACAUCCGGUGAUUGAACCGGAGUAUUCCAUUUAUCCACAGAAUGAGUUCUGUACUUCCGGCGGCAGAGCAGGCCUGCCCACAGUACCCUGCCAGCGUAUUUACACCCUGACCUGGAGGGACCAGCUAAGGGUGAGAAUGUGAUUCACUCUCCAUGCUCAUCCCAUGUGUGUUUGAU